CUUUUCCUAGCCAAGGGAAGCCGUUACAGAUGGUACCUGGAAAAUUGGGACACUCCCACCCUAAUACUGUGCUUUUCCAAUGGUCUUAGCAAACAGCACACCAGGAGAUUAUAUCCCACGCAUGACUUGGAGGGUCCCAUGCCCAUGGAGCCUUGCUCACUGCUAGCACAGCAGUCCAAGAUUGAAUUGCAAGGUGGCAGUGAGUCUGGGGGAGGGGCAUCCACCAUUGCUGAGGCUUGACUAGGUAAACAAAGUGGCGGGAAGCUCGAACUAGGUGGAGCCCACCGCAGCCCACCUCUGUAGACUCGAACUGAGUGGAGCCCACCACUGCCCGCCUCUGUAGACUCCAUCUCUGGGGGCAGGGCAUAGCGGAACAAAAGGCAGCAGAAGCUUCUGCAGACUUAAACAUCCUUUUCUGACAGCUUUGAGGAGAGUAGUGGUUCUCCAAGCAUGGACUUUGAGAUCUGAGAAUGGACAGACUGCCUCCUCAAGUGGGUCCCUGACCCCCGAGAAGCCUAACUGGGAGACACCUCCCAGUGGGGGCCGACUGACACCUCAUACAGCCGGAUCCCCCUCUGAGAUGAAGCUUCCAGAGGAAGGAUCAGGGAGUACAUUUCCUGUUCUGCAAUAAGUUUUGCAGGAAAAGAAGAAAGCUGAAAACACACUGAGGAUUAUGGGAGAGGGGCAAGUGCAUGAAGCUUCUCAAUGACAUACAGACACUCUAAAAGCUCAAGAGAUCAAUUAUUCAACUUCAAGAACUGAAAUUUGAACACAGAUUUUGAGCUUCCAAAUCAGACUGCUGUUAAACUGGCUCACUCCAUAUACUCUGUGCUACAGCAAUUUAAUAUUUCAUUAAAAAGCAUUAAUGAUGGCUCCAGUGAAUUUCUCCUAUUCAAGCUCCAUAAUGACAGCAGUUCAAGCGAGUGUUGAUCUCUGAGUGAUGCAACACAAAAACAUCGCCUAACAAAGGAACACUUGGAGUACUACUCAUAUUCUCUGCAACUUGAGGAGAAAAAGAAGUGUUCUAUAAGAAGUUUGGACAAGACUCUGCAAGAAGUUAAGAGGUCCUUAAAGGCAACUGUGAAUUAACGGAGACUAGUUUUGAGAAAAUCAGUCCUGAUUUGUUUCUCCUGGAGUUUUCUUCUUUAUGUGAUCCUUCAUAAAAGCUGCUAAUAUGGGAAAGAUUGAAAUCAGCAAGUUUCUGGCUGUAAGCUAAAAGAGGCUCUUGAAUCAUAUUUCCGCCUGCUUAGCAAAUUUCUCUUGCGACAAUUGGAUGUUAUUUGGGGUUCCAUACUAGCAGGAAGAAGUACAAGCAAAGCUAAGUCAUUUUGAGAAUAAAUAUUAUCUCUCUAUAUAUUUGUAAAUGUUAUUUUCUUUUUUUUUGAGGUUUAUGAUUGAUCCUUGGCAUGUGUCCCCUUGUGUAUUGCUCUACUAAAAAUAGCCUAAAAAAGAAUUUUCCCCUCGAUGUGGAGCUUCUCUUUAGUUACAAUUCUACUUUCUCCUUCACUUGAGUAUCAGUCUUCAGAGAACUACCAUAACAAAGGAGUGGAUACAGAUAUACGCAAAAAAGUCUAUGAGAAAAUUAGUACAUUAAAUUUGUGAAAGCUCAUUUAAAGUAAUUUUCUACUAACAAUUUUAAUCAAAUGUAUUAAUCAUAUUUCUAUGCUUAGUGAUGUUAAAUAAAAAUUUAAAAGGUGGCAAUCAAUAAACAGAGAUAAAAGCUUCUCAAGAAUAAAUGAAAGGAAGUAAUAAAAAGACUCACUAAGCUGAAUUGCCUCCUAUCAACAGCAGCUGAUAAAAUAUUAAAAGAUUUGCCUUGUGUAAUGUCUCUGGAGAGCUGUCUUACUGAUGUACGAGGCCAUGAUUGACAACUUUGAGACUUUGCUGGAAGCGACAAAAGUAUAUCUAUAAUAUUAUGCUGAAUUGCAUAGGUCUUUCUUCUUAAAUGAGGCUAGAAAUAACAUACCACCAAGUGUUUGGCUUUUAGGAAAUUGAGCAUUUUCUUUAGUUCUAGCUGCAGUUUAAUUUCCUCAGAAUUAGACAUUAUGCGGUAUCUGGAACGUUAAAAAAAAAAAAAAGCAAAAACAGAGUAUUGUACCUAAUGAUAUGUCAAAUAAUUUUGGAGGAAUUAAGAAAUCACUGGAAGAAAUUACAUGGGUGGGUAAUGGUUUUUAUGUCACAAUAAAUAAUUAGUAAUAUUUACUGACACAUUUCAUGUGCCUGGUACUGAGCUAAAUGAUUUAUGUGCAUUGUUUGUAUUAAGCCCCCAAAAUUCUGUGGUAUAUGUAAUGAUAUUUCCAUUUUUCUUGAGAUAAGGAACUGAAACUCAGAAAAGUUAAGGAACUUGUCCAAGAUUAUAGUAAGUGGCUUAGUUCAAUUUUGAAUCUAGAUCAAUCUGACUCCAACCAGCAUGAUGAACUGAAACUGACUAUGAGGCUGGUGACACUCUAGGCAUUUAUUCACAAGAGGUAUUGUGAUGACAUGUGAGAGAAUGUUGGAUGAAGGAAGCACAUACUAGAAAGAUAGGAAAGACCAGAAAACACAGGGAAGUGCUAUUUAUUUGCUUUCCUAGUUCCAGUAACUUGGUCUAAUGGGGAGGAUGAAAGUAGACAGAUACCUGAAAACACUUUGAGAUUUAUGUAUAAGCAGCAUGACUUCAGUGACCAAGCCACACAGAAUCUGGGAGUGGAACAUUUUCUUUGGUCAUUAUGCCACUGCGGCAUGGUUUGUUAGUGCAGUGAGAACUAAAGUAUAGUGUGGUAACCUGAAACUGUUAUGGUUAUGGGUACACCUGGGUGGGUAGCUGUUCACCCCUUCACAGAGGGUAGGAGUGGUGAUAGCAAAGUAGCUCUUCGCAGUAACUUUCAGAACAUAGACAUUAUGUAAGAUCUGAAGUUUGAAAACCUGAAACAAAAGCAGAGCAUUAUAUCCAAGCACAUUGGAGACAACUGUGGAGGAAUCAAGGAACAUCUAGCAGAGAUUUAAUGUUUUAGGGACUGUUUUUUAUUUCAGAAGGUAAUAAGUGUAAAACAGUCAAACUCUAGGCAUAGGGAUGAACAUUAUUUUGUGUCAUAAAUUUGUCUAAUAUAGUUGCUGCUUCAGCAUCCAGUUUUGGCUUGUCAUGGUCAAGGUGACCAGUCAUGCCCUGUCACCUUUGGUUUUAUUAAAAUUUUCCCUCCUUUAGUGGUUAUUUGUGAUAUAGCCCUGUUGUUCCCCAUCUCACUGACCCCAAAUUCAACACAUGCCACAGCUGCUGGCCACAGUGAAAACUAAUGAUCAACACCAGUCAUGUGAAUAAGACGUCCCUUCAUGUGUUUUCUUUAAGCUAGCCUAUCCACAGCCCCAUGGGAAAGCCUAAAGAAUAGUACCUGUGGAUUAUAAUAAAGACGUCUUACUGGUUCUUGCUCUCUAUCCCUCUCUCUACACACUGGUCAAGUACACUCUUGUCUCCAGACUUCCCAUUGGCCUCCUGUCAACACCUGUACCCACUCUGGACCUGGGAAUAAUAAACUUCUUUUUUUUUUUAAUGUAUUUUGGUUUCACUUCCUCAUUGUAUCUCACCUGACACACACAUACUAUAGUGUUCUCAAUAUUAUUUAAUGUGUUUAACAAAUCAUAACAGAUAAUAUAUGAUUGACACUGUGCCUCCUGAUUUGAUGCAAUAUGGACUAUUCCACAUCACUGAUGAAGUAGUCAUACAAAAAAUAUUUAUCUUGAAUCAAAGCAAGAUUUUAUACCAAAAUUCUAGUUCAAGUUACCUGAUAGAGGAACAUAUUAAACAAUACUAUGUGUAAACAAUACUAUGUGUAAACAAUCAGAAAAAUAAUAGAUUGUAGCCUUCAAAAAACGAUGGCCUUACAAAACAAAUAAACAAAAAGUUUGUGUGGGUGUGUACAUGCAAGGGCUAAUCUCAAAUGCAGAAAGACCAGAAUACAAUAACAAAUAUAAUUCUUGAAAGUGGAUUUCAUCUUGGUUUACCAAAAAUAGCUAUGAGGGAAAUUUGGGUAAGAAUUAGAGAAUUCUGAAUAUAGAAUGAAUUAAAACAUAUUAUGAAUUAAGUUAAUAUUUUUGAUGUUUUCUUUUGAUAUGUUCUUUUAGAAUAUGUAAUAUCCCUAUUUAUUGGAGAUGUGUGCUAAAUUAUUUACAAAUAUUUGGGUAUCUGAAAUUUACUUUCAAAUGCACCAAAAAUAAUAGCUAUACAAAAAGAAAUACAUUAAAUUUACUCUAUAGUAGUAGUUAUUCUUUCUGAGAGGUUUACACAGUAUUUUCCUGUUCUUUUGUAUGUAUGUAUUUUUAAAAGAACGUAGGCCUGGCGCAGUGGCUCACGCCUAUAAUCCCAGCACUUUGGGAGGCCGAGGUGGGCGGAUCACGUGGUCAGGAGAUCGAGACCAUCCUGGCUAACACGGUAAAACCCCGUCUCUACUAAAAACACAAAAACAAAAUUAGCCAGGCGUGGUGGCGGGCGCCUGUAGUCCCAGCUAAUCAGGAGGCUGAGGCAGGAGAAUGGCGUGAACCCGGGAGGCGAAGCUUGCAGUGAGCCGAGAUCAUGCCACUGCACUCCAGCCUGGGCGACAGAGCGAGACUCCGUCUCAAAAAAAACAAAAACGAAAACAAAAACAACAUAAAUAAAUUGAUAAUAUAUCUAUUUUGAUACAGUCAUGGUUAACAUAAAUAAUCCUGGUUAUAUCCAUAUAAAACCAUGAAUAUACAGUAAUAAAUAUUAUAAUUACAAGUAAAUCACCAUAAAUAAAUUCUGUUUUCAAUGUUUCUACU
This 4773-nucleotide long non-coding RNA is filed under the name Homo sapiens (human). RNAcentral's name for it is "HSALNT0044567". Lineage: Eukaryota; Metazoa; Chordata; Mammalia; Primates; Hominidae. The record is from RNAcentral.